AUAACGUAACGGUGAAGUGACAUGGGAAGAUGCGCCUACAGUGGCUACUUCCAAACCAGUACUUAGUGGGUGGCUAGCAGUGGAACGUAUUUCUUCAGACUGGGUGUUGGAACGUGUUAACAAAGUUUGUAAUGCUAAAGCCAUUUGGUCCAUUCUAUGGUCCAUGGCCUCAAAUCUGGGGUCAGGAGGACUAGCACCUGCAGGAUCCAUUUGGCCCUGUCGUAAUGUCAGGAUACUGACAGGGAUCCAAUACGCAGAGUGCGGACAGAAGGAGGUACGUAUACCGGACCUUAGAAUGGCCGGACUAACGUAGGGACAAAACAAGAAUAGUCAAAAGGUAAGCCGAGGUCGAGGGAGCCGGAGGACAGGUAAGCGAGAUACAAGCCGAGUCAAAGGAGAGGAGAGGACAACAGGACAAAAGACAAGCAAGGGUCAAAACCGGAAACACUAAGAGAAAGAACGCGCUGAGUGACUAGCAAGCUAGAACCACGACAGGGCAAUGAGCAGUAGUAAAGGUUUCCUUUAAAUACCCUGUUACCUAAAUUGAGACCACGCCCCCAAAAGGUCCGGAAUAGCGGUUCCCGGCACUUCACGUAAAUGCCGACGUCAUGACGUCGACGCUAGCCGUCGCGUCAUAAAAGGGGGAGGAGCUAGCGCGGCCGGCGCGAAAACGGCCGAAAUAUGCCGAAAUGCUAGGGGCAGGGAGCCCCUAAACAGAGAGGAUGUCUUCCCUGGAUUCAGCACCAACAGGUACCCUGACAGCAGCAAAGAAAAAACUUUAUAAACAUAACCAAUGAUAACAUUAACAGUCUCAGGUGUAUUCUUCCCAGUAACAGGAACAGCCAAUCAGG
Non-coding RNA from Pelobates cultripes (western spadefoot toad), 851 nucleotides. NCBI's taxonomy places the organism in Eukaryota, Metazoa, Chordata, Amphibia, Anura, Pelobatidae. The record is from the annotation of a GenBank genome assembly.